UACGUAGGGUGCGAGCGUUGUCCGGGAUUAUUGGGCGGAAAGGGCUCGUAGGCGGUCUGUCACGUCGGGAGUGAAAACUCGGGGCUUAACCCCGAGCCUGCUUCCGAUACGGGCAGACUAGAGGUAUGCAGGGGAGAACGGAAUUCCUGGUGUAGCGGUGAAAUGCGCAGAUAUCAGGAGGAACACCGGUGGCGAAGGCGGGUCUCUGGGCCGAUACUGACGCUGAGGAGCGAAAGCGUGGGGAGCGAACAGG
RNAcentral lists this ribosomal RNA (253 nucleotides) under uncultured bacterium. RNAcentral describes it as "partial 16S ribosomal RNA". It matches the Rfam family "Bacterial small subunit ribosomal RNA", at positions 524 to 776 of the family's 1533-position model. The record is from RNAcentral.